Molecule: ribosomal RNA, 253 nt
Filed under: uncultured bacterium
Lineage: Bacteria
Description: partial 16S ribosomal RNA
Rfam family: Bacterial small subunit ribosomal RNA
Source: RNAcentral
UACGUAGGGUGCGAGCGUUAAUCGGAAUUACUGGGCGUAAAGCGUGCGUAGGCGGUUCUCCAAGUCCGUUGUGAAAGCCCCGGGCUCAACCUGGGAAUUGCGAUGAAGACUGCAAGGCUUGAAUCUGGCAGAGGGGGGUAGAAUUCCACGUGUAGCAGUGAAAUGCGUAGAGAUGUGGAGGAACACCGAUGGCGAAGGCAGCCCCCUGGGCUAACACUGACGCUCAUGCACGAAAGCGUGGGGAGCAAACAGG